UAGGGAAUCUUCCACAAUGGACGCAAGUCUGAUGGAGCAACGCCGCGUGAGUGAAGAAGGCUUUCGGGUCGUAAAACUCUGUUAUUGAAGAAGAACGUGUGUGACAGUAACUGGUCAUGCAGUGACGGUAUUCAAUCAGAAAGUCACGGCUAACUACGUGCCAGCAGCCGCGGUAAUACGUAGGUGGCAAGCGUUGUCCGGAUUUAUUGGGCGUAAAGCGAGUGCAGGCGGUCUUUUAAGUCUGAUGUGAAAGCCUUCGGCUUAACCGAAGAAGGGCAUCGGAAACUGGGAGACUUGGGUGCAGAAGAGGAGAGUGGAACUCCAUGUGUAGCGGUGAAAUGCGUAGAUAUAUGGAAGAACACCAGUGGCGAAGGCGGCUCUCUGGUCUGUAACUGACGCUGAGGCUCGAAAGCGUGGGUAGCAAACAGGAUUAGAUACCCUGGUAGUCCAC
This 451-nucleotide ribosomal RNA is filed under the name uncultured bacterium. RNAcentral's name for it is "partial 16S ribosomal RNA". It matches the Rfam family "Bacterial small subunit ribosomal RNA", at positions 355 to 798 of the family's 1533-position model. The record is from RNAcentral.